RNAcentral lists this ribosomal RNA (301 nucleotides) under uncultured bacterium. Its description in RNAcentral is "partial 16S ribosomal RNA". It matches the Rfam family "Bacterial small subunit ribosomal RNA", at positions 509 to 809 of the family's 1533-position model. The record is from RNAcentral.
CAGUAGCCGCGGUAACACAGAGGGUGCAAGCGUUAAUCGGAAUUACUGGGCGUAAAGCGCGCGUAGGUGGUUUGUUAAGUUGGAUGUGAAAUCCCUGAGCUUAACUUAGGAAUUGCAUUCGAUACUGGGAAGCUAGAGUAUGGGAGAGGAUGGUAGAAUUCCUGGUGUAGCGGUGGAAUGCGCAGAUAUCAGGAGGAACACCGAUGGCGAAGGCAGAUCUCUGGGCCGUAACUGACGCUGAGGAGCGAAAGCAUGGGGAGCGAACAGGAUUAGAUACCCCAGUAGUCCCUGUCUCUUAUAA